GACGAACGCUGGCGGCGUGCUUAACACAUGCAAGUCGAACGGAAAGGCCCUGCUUUUGUGGGGUGCUCGAGUGGCGAACGGGUGAGUAACACGUGAGUAACCUGCCCUUGACUUUGGGAUAACUUCAGGAAACUGGGGCUAAUACCGGAUAGGAGCUCCUGCUGCAUGGUGGGGGUUGGAAAGUUUCGGCGGUUGGGGAUGGACUCGCGGCUUAUCAGCUUGUUGGUGGGGUAGUGGCUUACCAAGGCUUUGACGGGUAGCCGGCCUGGGAGGGUGACCGGCCACAUUGGGACUGAGAGACGGCCCAGACUCCUACGGGAGGCAGCAGGGGGAAAUAUUGCACAAUGGGCGGGAGCCUGAUGCAGCAACGCCGCGUGCGGGAUGACGGCCUUCGGGUUGUAAACCGCUUUCGCCUGUGACGAAGCGUGAGUGACGGUAAUGGAUAAAGAAGCACCGGCUAACUACGUG
Molecule: ribosomal RNA, 468 nt
Filed under: uncultured bacterium
Lineage: Bacteria
Description: partial 16S ribosomal RNA
Rfam family: Bacterial small subunit ribosomal RNA
Source: RNAcentral